UCGAACGAGGUAGCAAUACCUAAAGGCGGACGGGUGAGUAACACGUGGGAAUCUGCCCUUAGAUGGGGGAUAGCAGACCGAAAGGUCUAUUAAUACCCCAUAUGUGUAUAUCCCGACAGGGGUAUACAUGAAAGGAGUAAUUCGUCUGAGGAUGAGCCCGCGUCCGAUUAGCUAGUUGGUAGGGUAAAGGCCUACCAAGGCUUCGAUCGGUAGGUGGUCUGAGAGGAUGAUCACCCACAAUGGGACUGAGACACGGCCCAUACUCCUACGGGAGGCAGCAGUGGGGAAUCUUGGACAAUGGGGGNCACCCUGAUCCAGCGAUGCCGCGUGAGUGAAGAAGGCCUUCGGGUCGUANAGCUCUCUAGGUUGGGACGAAGGGGUGGUGGAGGAUAAUGCCAUUACCUUGACGGUACUGACAGAAUAAGCACCGGCAAACUCUGUG
Molecule: ribosomal RNA, 442 nt
Filed under: uncultured bacterium
Lineage: Bacteria
Description: bacterial SSU rRNA
Rfam family: Bacterial small subunit ribosomal RNA
Source: RNAcentral